This 23-nucleotide microRNA is filed under the name Haemonchus contortus (barber pole worm). RNAcentral's name for it is "hco-miR-2159-3p". The record is from miRBase by way of RNAcentral. Lineage: Eukaryota; Metazoa; Nematoda; Chromadorea; Rhabditida; Trichostrongylidae.
UAAGGGGCCAAAUAAAGGGGGGG